Molecule: ribosomal RNA, 1146 nt
Filed under: Lactiplantibacillus plantarum
Lineage: Bacteria; Bacillati; Bacillota; Bacilli; Lactobacillales; Lactobacillaceae
Description: bacterial SSU rRNA
Rfam family: Bacterial small subunit ribosomal RNA
Source: RNAcentral
UGCAUAUACAUGCAGUCGAACGAACUCUGGUAUUGAUUGGUGCUUGCAUCAUGAUUUACAUUUGAGUGAGUGGCGAACUGGUGAGUAACACGUGGGAAACCUGCCCAGAAGCGGGGGAUAACACCUGGAAACAGAUGCUAAUACCGCAUAACAACUUGGACCGCAUGGUCCGAGUUUGAAAGAUGGCUUCGGCUAUCACUUUUGGAUGGUCCCGCGGCGUAUUAGCUAGAUGGUGGGGUAACGGCUCACCAUGGCAAUGAUACGUAGCCGACCUGAGAGGGUAAUCGGCCACAUUGGGACUGAGACACGGCCCAAACUCCUACGGGAGGCAGCAGUAGGGAAUCUUCCACAAUGGACGAAAGUCUGAUGGAGCAACGCCGCGUGAGUGAAGAAGGGUUUCGGCUCGUAAAACUCUGUUGUUAAAGAAGAACAUAUCUGAGAGUAACUGUUCAGGUAUUGACGGUAUUUAACCAGAAAGCCACGGCUAACUACGUGCCAGCAGCCGCGGUAAUACGUAGGUGGCAAGCGUUGUCCGGAUUUAUUGGGCGUAAAGCGAGCGCAGGCGGUUUUUUAAGUCUGAUGUGAAAGCCUUCGGCUCAACCGAAGAAGUGCAUCGGAAACUGGGAAACUUGAGUGCAGAAGAGGACAGUGGAACUCCAUGUGUAGCGGUGAAAUGCGUAGAUAUAUGGAAGAACACCAGUGGCGAAGGCGGCUGUCUGGUCUGUAACUGACGCUGAGGCUCGAAAGUAUGGGUAGCAAACAGGAUUAGAUACCCUGGUAGUCCAUACCGUAAACGAUGAAUGCUAAGUGUUGGAGGGUUUCCGCCCUUCAGUGCUGCAGCUAACGCAUUAAGCAUUCCGCCUGGGGAGUACGGCCGCAAGGCUGAAACUCAAAGGAAUUGACGGGGGCCCGCACAAGCGGUGGAGCAUGUGGUUUAAUUCGAAGCUACGCGAAGAACCUUACCAGGUCUUGACAUACUAUGCAGAUCUAAGAGAUUAGACGUUCCCUUCGGGGACAUGGAUACAGGUGGUGCAUGGUUGUCGUCAGCUCGUGUCGUGAGAUGUUGGGUUAAGUCCCGCAACGAGCGCAACCCUUAUUAUCAGUUGCCAGCAUUAAGUUGGGCACUCUGGUGAGACUGCCGGUGAC